UUUGGGAAAAAACUGGAAGUGAUAAUUUUGGGCGGUUUGCCUGGUGGCAAUAUUGUCAAGGAUUACAUAAUAUGAUAAUGGCAAUGGCAAAUGCAAUUUGUAAAAGUAUUUAUUCCCGUUACUCGUAGAGUAAAAAAAAUACUAGAUACGUUGAAAAGAUCAAUAGCCGAGUUGAUGUGGCCAUGUCCUUCUGUCCGGCUGCCUGGCCGUCCCUAUGAACAUCGAGAUUUCAGGAACUAUUAAAGAAAAAUAAUCGCGUAAUAGUAAUUGAGCAACAAAAACAUCUACUUGACCAAUCCAGAACAAUUGACCUGCAACCACUAUUAAAAGGUUUAGAUUUAUAUUUUUUUAUACCUCUGAAGUGAAAGUCUUCAUAUGUAUAUGUUUUUGAAAAAAUUAUUUUGUUAUAUUUAAUAUAUUAGUCAUAUUAAUUGUUACCAUAAAUUGCUUAAAAAACGACCAUAGCUUAAGAAUUAGCAACAGUAAAGCGAUAUUAAUUUGUCUUUGGUUUAUUUUGUGCAUUAAAAUUUAAGGCUUAGUAAGUUAACAACGAACUCCCAGGUUUGCAUCAGCAGGCCUAUUUUUAUUCCUCCUAUUAAUAUUAAUCAUUUUAUUACCCAUAAUUUAUUAAUAUUAAGCAUUUAAUAUUAUAAUUAUUACUCCACUCAUGUAUGGUCCACCCCUAAUUGGGUCCACCCUAAUUGGCCCGAGAGCUGAGCCAACAUAUUGCGCCCUUAUGGGCCGUGGCUUUGUCCCAUUGGCUAGCAGCGAUCGUAUGACUUCUGCAAAAUGUGCAUGGUCAGCGGUCUGCCACGGGCAUCCGGUCAUGCAUGAGCUUUUGUUAGUUCUUAAGUUCAGUUCUGAUUUUAUAUUCAAUUAAUAAAGAGCACAAGCUCAUAUAA
Molecule: long non-coding RNA, 902 nt
Organism: Drosophila santomea
Lineage: Eukaryota; Metazoa; Arthropoda; Insecta; Diptera; Drosophilidae
Exons: 3
Source: RefSeq, a predicted model, not a curated record